UAUAACAAAAAAGUACAACGCUCAAAACUACUCCGAUAUUAGGUUGAGUUAGUAAUAGUUGUAAACAGCCUUAAAUUACUCCGCGAAAUACUCGGAUUUAAACGUUGUCAAAUAUCUUAAAUCUUGUUCAUUCGGAGUUUUCAGUGAAAUCGUGGCAAAGGACUUCUUGAUGCUCCGGUAAAGUCGGUUUUAGAAAGCAAAAAACAGCUUUUGCUAGUGUUCCAAACACAAAAACUACUACCCAUAGCACAAUUAUUCAUUAAAAUCUGUGAAGAGAGACAUAUUAAACACUGUAAGUGGGUAACUUAGGAAUUGAGAUAAAAGCAUUGUUUUUCGGACUAUCAAUGUUUAGUUGCUGAAAGUUACGUUAAGUUUACAAAUACAUCAGAGGUUGACUACAAGAACUUCCGAAUAAUAUGAAUAAUGAGUUCAAAUUUGGUAAAUUUAAGUUA
Non-coding RNA from Schizosaccharomyces pombe (fission yeast), 452 nucleotides. The record is from the annotation of a GenBank genome assembly. Lineage: Eukaryota; Fungi; Ascomycota; Schizosaccharomycetes; Schizosaccharomycetales; Schizosaccharomycetaceae.